GAAGCCUUUUACCAUCACUGCACCCUCUCCUGGUUGACCUUACCCUGAGAGCUUUCCGUAACUUAAUCCUUUCAUGGGUGUUAUAUGCACCGUGGGGGACAGAAGCAGGAAAGAAAGAGCCAUAGAACAGGAGGGAGAAUCAAGUAUAGAAAUUCAAGGGAAAGGAAAGAAGGGAGUUCAAAAGGGGGGUGGUGGAAUUUAGCAAAGGGGCAUUAGGGGUGGGCCUGGGUGAUAGACUGGGGAGAUGGAGAGAGAAGCUAUAUGAGCACAUAGAAACUAAGAAUGGUGCUGUUCUAGUAUAUAUCAAUAAAUACAAUUCUUCCCUGAAUGUGGAAAGUAAAUUAUAUAAAUCCUAAUACAUGGAGGAAGGGACUGGGAAUCAAUGUAAAAGACUGAAUCUCAAAACCAAAAAAUAAUUGGAGUUGGGGAGCACAAUUGGUGGGAAAGAGAAGGGAAAGAAAAACAAAGACCUAGGGCUUGGAUGAAAACAAGAAAAGGAUCAGGGAUUGCUGUAUGAAAAAUGCCUGCGAGAGAGGAAGACCAGUUCAUACCCAGAGAAAGCUACAGUUGAUGUGGGAUCUACUUGUCAAAAGGCUGUCUGAGAGCAACAAUCCCAAGACUGGGUUAUCCAAGCCAUUGAGAUGGAAGCAGUGGGUACAUUGA
RNAcentral lists this long non-coding RNA (663 nucleotides) under Phascolarctos cinereus (koala). Its description in RNAcentral is "lncRNA (ENSPCIG00000006882.2)". Lineage: Eukaryota; Metazoa; Chordata; Mammalia; Diprotodontia; Phascolarctidae. The record is from RNAcentral.